CCCAGACUCCUACGGGAGGCAGCAGUGGGGGAUAUUGGACAAUGGGGGAAACCCUGAUCCAGCGACGCCGCGUGAGUGAAGAAGUAUUUCGGUAUGUAAAGCUCUGUCAGCAGGGAAGAAAGAAAUGACGGUACCUGACCAAGAAGCCCCGGCUAACUACGUGCCAGCAGCCGCGGUAAUACGUAGGGGGCAAGCGUUAUCCGGAAUUACUGGGUGUAAAGGGAGCGUAGACGGCAAGGCAAGUCUGGAGUGAAAGCCCGUGGCUCAACCACGGGACUGCUUUGGAAACUGUGUUGCUGGAGUGCAGGAGGGGUAAGCGGAAUUCCUAGUGUAGCGGUGAAAUGCGUAGAUAUUAGGAGGAACACCGGUGGCGAAGGCGGCUUACUGGACUGUAACUGACGUUGAGGCUCGAAGGCGUGGGGAGCAAACAGGAUUAGAUACCCCAGUAA
RNAcentral lists this ribosomal RNA (449 nucleotides) under uncultured bacterium. RNAcentral describes it as "bacterial SSU rRNA". It matches the Rfam family "Bacterial small subunit ribosomal RNA", at positions 330 to 793 of the family's 1533-position model. The record is from RNAcentral.